CCUACGGGUGGCAGCAGUGAGGAAUAUUGGUCAAUGGACGGAAGGCUGAACCAGCCAUGCCGCGUGCAGGACGACGGUGCCAUGAAUUGUAAACUUCUUUUGUACAAGGGUAAAAUCCGGCACGAGUACCUGACUGAGGGUACCUGACGAAAAAGCAUCGGCUAACUCCGUGCCAGCAGCCGCGGUAAUACGGAGGAUUCGAGCGUUAUCCGGAUUUAUUGGGUUUAAAGGGUGCGUAGGCGGGUCGGUAAGUCAGAGGUGAAAACCCGGGGCUCAACUCCGGCAGUGCCUUUGAUACUGGCUGUCUAGAGAUGUCGAGCGGUAUGCGGAAUG
Molecule: ribosomal RNA, 333 nt
Filed under: uncultured bacterium
Lineage: Bacteria
Description: partial 16S ribosomal RNA
Rfam family: Bacterial small subunit ribosomal RNA
Source: RNAcentral